RNAcentral lists this ribosomal RNA (496 nucleotides) under uncultured bacterium. RNAcentral's name for it is "partial 16S ribosomal RNA". It matches the Rfam family "Bacterial small subunit ribosomal RNA", at positions 29 to 523 of the family's 1533-position model. The record is from RNAcentral.
AUUGAACGCUGGCGGCAUGCCUUACACAUGCAAGUCGAACGGUAGAGGGGGCAACCCCUCGAGAGUGGCGAACGGGUGAGUAAUGCAUCGGAACGUGACCGGUAGUGGGGGAUAGCCCGGCGAAAGCCGGAUUAAUACCGCAUGAGACCUACGGGUGAAAGGGGGGGAUCACAAGACCUCUCGCUAUUGGAGCGGCCGAUGUCAGAUUAGGUAGUUGGUGGGGUAAAGGCCUACCAAGCCGACGAUCUGUAGCUGGUCUGAGAGGACGACCAGCCACACUGGGACUGAGACACGGCCCAGACUCCUACGGGAGGCAGCAGUGGGGAAUUUUGGGCAAUGGGCGAAAGCCUGAUCCAGCCAUGCCGCGUGCGGGAAGAAGGCCUUCGGGUUGUAAACCGCUUUUGUCAGGGAAGAAAUCCUUUGAGCUAAUACCUCGGGGGGAUGACGGUACCUGAAGAAUAAGCACCGGCUAACUACGUGCCAGCAGCAGCCGCAG